GAUGAACGCUGGCGGCGUGCCUAAUACAUGCAAGUCGAGCGAACAGAUGAGGAGCUUGCUCCUCUGACGUUAGCGGCGGACGGGGGAGUAACACGUGGAUAACCUACCUAUAAGACUGGGAUAACUUCGGGAAACCGGAGCUAAUACCGGAUAAUAUAUUGAACCGCAUGGUUCAAUAGUGAAAGACGGUUUUGCUGUCACUUAUAGAUGGAUCCGCGCCGCAUUAGCUAGUUGGUAGGGUAACGGCUUACCAAGGCAGCGAUGCGUAGCCGACCUGAGAGGGUGAUCGGCCACACUGGAACUGAGACACGGUCCAGACUCCUACGGGAGGCAGCAGUAGGGAAUCUUACGCCAUGGGCGAAAGCCUGACGGAGCAACGCCGCGUGAGUGAUGAAGGUCUUCGGAUCGUAAAGCUCUGUUAUUAGGGAAGAACAAAUGUGUAAGUAACUAUGCACGUCUUGACGGUACCUAAUCAGAAAGCCACGGCUAACUACGUG
RNAcentral lists this ribosomal RNA (497 nucleotides) under uncultured bacterium. RNAcentral describes it as "partial 16S ribosomal RNA". It matches the Rfam family "Bacterial small subunit ribosomal RNA", at positions 28 to 507 of the family's 1533-position model. The record is from RNAcentral.